RNAcentral lists this unclassified non-coding RNA (240 nucleotides) under soil metagenome. RNAcentral's name for it is "partial contains 5.8S ribosomal RNA, internal transcribed spacer 2, and large subunit ribosomal RNA". The record is from RNAcentral.
AACCAUAGAAACCUGCGGAGUACCUGCGGAAGGAUCAUUACACAAUACAAUAUGAAGGCUGUCCGCAGCUGGAGUAUUUUAUUACCCUUGUCUUUUGCGCACUUGUUGUUUCCUGGGCGGGUUCGCUCGCCACCAGGACCACCAAAUAAACCUUUUUUAUGCAGUUGCAAUCAGCGUCAGUACAAACAAUGUAAAUCAUUUACAACUUUUAGCAACGGAUCUCAGAUCGGAAGAGCACAC